Macrobrachium nipponense is the source of this 2557-nucleotide long non-coding RNA. RefSeq lists it as uncharacterized. The transcript is spliced from 5 exons. The record is from RefSeq and is a predicted model, not a curated record. NCBI's taxonomy places the organism in Eukaryota, Metazoa, Arthropoda, Malacostraca, Decapoda, Palaemonidae.
UAUCUAUGGUGGUGGUUGUACAUGUGUUUGUUCCUUUGUUUUCUAUGUGUUUCGAAUAAAAUUAAGUGAAUACGGACUUCCACAAGAGCCUUAUUCUUCUCUCUGAUAGUCAGCAGCGGCGUUUUACUGAUAUAUGUGGUAACCAGGACGAUCCGUGUUGGUGGGACGAAGCCAAGUAUAGCAUGACUGGACCUCGGUAGCGGAAGGUGUUCCCUGCUCUCCGUAGGACCUCGGUAGCAGAGACGUAGACACGGCAAGAGUUGCGGAGGAGAGGAGGUUAGGGCGUGGGAGGAGGAGGAGGAGGAGGAGCAGUUAAGCAGGUGUUGCUUGAUCUUGUACCUAAACGAGAAUAAUCUCGGGGAAACCAACUGGAUAGUGACUGUGAAAUCUCUCUAAGCGUUGGAACUUGGAAUGGUCUGGACAACCAGGUACUGUUAAGAAUUGGAGAGGCCUCUGCUAGCAACAUCGUCUACUGCAGGAAUACCCGAACCCCAGUGAACUGAAAUUAAGUGUCAGGGAGUGACACUGAAUCUGGUGUAGAUAACUGGAACAGAUGUCAUUUUAUUAUUAUAACUAUUCAGUAGAUGCACCCUAUUCAUAUAGAACAAGCUCACCAAAGGGGUCAUUAACUUGAAAUUCAAACUUCCAAAGAGCAGGGUGUUCAUUAGGAAGAAGCAAGAGGAAGUAAAGGGAAAUAUAGAAAAGGUAUCACAUAGAAAAAAAAAAACAUAUCCACCCACUCCAAUAUCCUGAAGUUUAUAGAUAAUUGUCUUGUGAUUUACUUAAUCGAAAACAGCACUAAAAUCUAUUUGAAUUACACUGCACUCAAAACCCUUAUCAUUAGUUCUCAGGCGAAAUUCAUUCUUGUUUUAGUGAGUAUUCAAUAUUAUUGAGGACCUAAAUAGUCACACAUUUGGCAAACUUAUAUUUGAGGUUAGGAAAUAUUUCUGUGAAGCCGUGUCUCGACAUUUAAUUUCCAGUAUUGUCCUUGCGAAACACGUUCUUUUUUUUCAGUUAUUUGUAGUAUUAACGGAAAAGUGUAUUAAAAUGAUUCUUAUAUAGAGCAUUUAUAACUCCGACUAGUAUAAAGAUAGUCUACUGCCGGUUGUGUAUGGGCCAAAUUUCCUAUUCAUUACUGAAAUACUAAAUUUGUUGCGUCAAGAUAUUUUGAAAACUUUGAGCUUUGAUUGUCAACAUUCAGUUCAUGGGAGAUGAUUCUGGUGUUUUCACUUGUUCCAGUCAGCCUUCUUUUACUCAUUUUUAUUGCAAGUCACUAACAGGACCUCUGUUCAUAUCUGGCAAUGGUUAAGACGUUGACUUUAGAUGGAAAAGGAGUGAUUAAAUGUAGGGUAAAUAGCUAAAGUUAAUAUUUUGUAAUGAGGAGGUAAUUGGCACAUGUAGGUCUCUGUUUAUGUUUGCAGUUUUAGAGUAAAUAUUUUCGUUGGUCGCGAGAUAGCGAGUUGAAUCCUGUAUGUUUGUGCAUUUGCAGGUGAAUUGCGAGUAAUUUUAGCAUCGUAUCAUUCUUUUGCAUUUUAUACUACAAUUAUUAAAACCAGUGUAUUCCCAUAAAUCUGAUGGAUAUAAGCUGUAAUGUGACCUGUGUAUUUUUGUAGUUAUUUUUUUUUUAGAUUUUGUCAUCAUUUUUACUAUAUUUUUGUAACUCAAAAUGUAAUGAGAUGGACCUUAAGGGUUGAGUAUCCAAAACAUUCUAUAUUUAAGUGAUUAUUUUUCAACUCUUGCCAGUCAUCUUCAAACUGCAUUAACAGUGUUUCAGCUUUUACAGUACUGGAGUAAAUAGGUAUAUUUAGAUAUUAACUGAUAUAUUAGACUAAUAGAAGCAUUAAAUGCAGACGAGCAUAAAGUACUACUUAAUAAACAAAGAUUCUAACAAAUAUUAUACUAAAAAUUGGAUGCAGUGGAAGUGAAACACACACACUAUUCAAGGCUGUUUUCUUAACUACAUGAAAAUAUACCCAGUCAUCCUGAGUUCUCACGUUUUGUGGCACCGCUGAGAGAAAUGAGACAUUUUCAAGAGAAAACGAAGUAUUCGACAUUUUUCAUGACUCGUGGAAAAUGCCAUUGUAAAUGUAUUCUUGAAAAUGCCCCAAUUCCCAACGGUGCCCCACUACAUGGGAACUCAGGAUUACAGGGUAUGUUUUCAUAUAGCUAAGAAAACAGCCUUGAAUAGUUUCAUUUCCACUGGAUCCAAUUUUAGCAUAACAUUUGUUUAACUCUUUGCUUAUUAAGUUGUACUUUAUUUUAUGUGCGUCUGUAUUUCAGCUGCAUUUGAUGCUUCUGUUAGUCUGAUAUCAGUUAAUAUCUAAAUAUACUUAUUUACUCCAGUACUUUAGAAGCUGAAUUCCUGUUAAUGCAGUUUGAAGAUGACUCGGAAGAGUUGGAAACUCUGGUCACUUCAAGUUCUUUUCGUCUUAUGAUUUCUUUUGGGCACUAUGGUAACUAUCGAACAAUGCAUAAAGUAGGGUACAACUUGUAUGUAUAACAACUGGUAUAAAUUGUAAACAUGUAUAACAUUUUUAUGUUAUGAAAAUAAAAUCAC